This 497-nucleotide ribosomal RNA is filed under the name uncultured bacterium. RNAcentral describes it as "partial 16S ribosomal RNA". It matches the Rfam family "Bacterial small subunit ribosomal RNA", at positions 28 to 507 of the family's 1533-position model. The record is from RNAcentral.
GAUGAACGCUGGCGGCGUGCCUAAUACAUGCAAGUCGAGCGAACAGACGAGGAGCUUGCUCCUCUGACGUUAGCGGCGGACGGGUGAGUAACACGUGGAUAACCUACCUAUAAGACUGGGAUAACUUCGGGAAACCGGAGCUAAUACCGGAUAAUAUAUUGAACCGCAUGGUUCAAUAGUGAAAGACGGUUUUGCUGUCACUUAUAGAUGGAUCCGCGCCGCAUUAGCUAGUUGGUAAGGUAACGGCUUACCAAGGCAACGAUGCGUAGCCGACCUGAGAGGGUGAUCGGCCACACUGGAACUGAGACACGGUCCAGACUCCUACGGGAGGCAGCAGUGGGGAAUAUUCCGCAAUGGGCGAAAGCCUGACGGAGCAACGCCGCGUGAAUGAUGAAGGUCUUCGGAUCGUAAAACUCUGUUAUUAGGGAAGAACAAAUGUGUAAGUAACUAUGCACGUCUUGACGGUACCUAAUCAGAAAGCCACGGCUAACUACGUG